RNAcentral lists this ribosomal RNA (292 nucleotides) under uncultured Acidobacteriota bacterium. RNAcentral's name for it is "uncultured Acidobacteria bacterium partial 16S ribosomal RNA". The record is from RNAcentral. Lineage: Bacteria; Pseudomonadati; Acidobacteriota.
GGACUACACGGGUUUCUAAUCCUGUUUGCUACCCACGCUUUCGUGUCUCAGCGUCAGUUACGGUCCAGAAAGCCGUCUACACCACCGGUGUUCCUCCUGAUAUCUACGCAUUUCACCGCUACACCAGGAAUUCCACUUUCCUCUCCCGCACUCUAGUCCCUCAGUAUUCGGCGCACCCUCCCGGUUGAGCCGGGAGAUUUCACACCAAACUUAAAGAACCGCCUACACACCCUUUACGCCCAGUAACUCCGAACAACGCUUGCACCCUCUGUAUUACCGCGGCUGCUGGCAC